Long non-coding RNA from Mauremys mutica (yellowpond turtle), 384 nucleotides. RefSeq lists it as uncharacterized. Lineage: Eukaryota; Metazoa; Chordata; Testudines; Geoemydidae. The record is from RefSeq and is a predicted model, not a curated record. The transcript has 3 exons.
GAAGAAAGACUGCUAAAGACAACUGAACGACAGGCCAAGGGGGAGUCCAGAUUGAGACAGGGGUCCAGUCUGAAAAGAAAUAUAACUGGAACUCUGAGCUACAGAAACUCUGCAUCCUUCCUAAAUUCAACAUUUAGGGCUCCAUCCCCUGCUUCCACCUGGCAUUACCAGCAGCUUCCUUGAACUCUGCUGCCACUGACUGGGUCCAAGAGAUCCAGCUCAUUCAGGAAGAACUCAAGAACCACCUUGAACAGAAGAAGAAGGAGGCCUACAAAAGGCAUAUGGACCAUUGGCGACAAGCUCCACUAUUUAUGGAAGUGUUGUUGUAACCAUGUCAGUGGCUGGCAAAGCAAAUUCAGAAGAUGUUCUCACAAGACACAGAUC